This 412-nucleotide ribosomal RNA is filed under the name uncultured bacterium. RNAcentral describes it as "bacterial SSU rRNA". It matches the Rfam family "Bacterial small subunit ribosomal RNA", at positions 75 to 507 of the family's 1533-position model. The record is from RNAcentral.
UGAUACUUUAUUACAUUUCUAGUGGCGACGGGUGAGUAACACGUUGGAACCUGCCCCCAAAAGGUGAGGGAAUAAGCCACCGAAAAGGUGGUCUAAUACUUCAUAAUAUCCAUCUCGUAUGGAUUAAAGCUUUAUGCGCUUUGGGAGGGGCCUGCGUAACAUUAGCUUGUUGGUGAGGGUAAAAAGCUUCACCAAGGCUUCGAUGUUUAACUGGUUUGAGAGGAUGACCAGUCACACUGGGACUGAGAUACGGCCCAGACUCCUACGGGAGGCAGCAGUAAGGAAUCUUCCACAAUGGGGCAACCCUGAUGGAGCAAUACCGCGUGCAGGAUGAAGCGUUUCGGCGUGUAAACUGCUUUUAUCACCGAAGAUUAUGACUGUAGGUGAAGAAUAAGGACCGGCUAACUACGUG